Molecule: ribosomal RNA, 313 nt
Filed under: uncultured Coxiella sp.
Lineage: Bacteria; Pseudomonadati; Pseudomonadota; Gammaproteobacteria; Legionellales; Coxiellaceae
Description: bacterial SSU rRNA
Rfam family: Bacterial small subunit ribosomal RNA
Source: RNAcentral
GAACGCUGGCGGCAUGCCUUACACAUGCAAGUCGAACGGCAGCGGGGGGAGCUUGCUCCCUGACGGCGAGUGGCGGACGGGUGAGUAACACGUAGGAAUCUACCUUAAUUAUAAUAGUUAGUGGGGGAUAACCCGGGGAAACUCGGGCUAAUACCGCAUAAUCUCUUCAAAGCAAAGCGGGGGAUCUUCGGACCUCGUGCUAUGAGAUGAGCCUGCGUCGGAUUAGCUAGUUGGUAGGGUAAUGGCCUACCAAGGCGACGAUCCGUAGCUGGUCUGAGAGGACGAUCAGCCACACUGGGACUGAGACACGGCU